GACGAACGCUGGCGGCGUGCUUAACACAUGCAAGUCGAACGAUGAACCCGGAGCUUGCUCCGGCGGAUUAGUGGCGAACGGGUGAGUAACACGUGAGUAACCUGCCCUUGACUCUGGGAUAACUGCGGGAAACUGUAGCUAAUACCGGAUACGACCCUCGGCGGCAUCGCCAGGGGGUGGAAAGAAUUUCGGUCAAGGAUGGACUCGCGGCCUAUCAGCUAGUUGGUUAGGUAACGGCUCACCAAGGCGACGACGGGUAGCCGGCCUGAGAGGGUGAACGGCCACACUGGGACUGAGACACGGCCCAGACUCCUACGGGAGGCAGCAGUGGGGAAUAUUGCACAAUGGGCGCAAGCCUGGUGCAGCAACGCCGCGUGAGGGAUGACGGCCUUCGGGUUGUAAACCUCUUUUAGUAGGGAAGAAGCGAAAGUGACGGUACCUGCAGAAAAAGCACCGGCUAACUACGUGCCAGCCGCCGCAGUAA
This 484-nucleotide ribosomal RNA is filed under the name uncultured bacterium. RNAcentral's name for it is "partial 16S ribosomal RNA". It matches the Rfam family "Bacterial small subunit ribosomal RNA", at positions 28 to 523 of the family's 1533-position model. The record is from RNAcentral.